ACAUUAAAAAUCAGGUUUAACUGUCUUCUGGGUGAAUGAUGUGACUACAGCGAGGUCUCUUUUCACCACACGGCAAUAACAUUAAAAAUCAGGUUUAACUAUCAAAACUGCCACCACAAUUUUGGAGGUCCCACGGAGAUAUCCAUCCUCUGUGUGCCAGUCUCAAGGUUGAUCCCUGAUCGGUGUGGUCCGGACCAACCCGAAGACGGUUACUUUGUCGAAUUACACAGUUGACUACUGGUGGGGAGAGAUCUGGACAAUCACGAGACUGACCCAGCGACUGGAUUCUGAGCUAAGUGGUACUAAGAUGCCCAUCCUGACAAUACAGCUCUGAACCAAGCAUGGUUUAUGAAGUUGAGGAACUUCAAGGUCCUCCACAGAGCCCUGAUCUCCACCCUGCUGAACUCCUUUGAGAGGAAUUGUCAUGUUGAAUACAGAAUAGAAAUGUCAUGCCUAUUCUAAGACCUCGCAGGACAGUGAGGCUAAGAGAACACCAAGGGACCACUAACCCAUCCAGAUGUUCUUUAAAUCCACUACAUUUUAUGAUAGAUGUAUUAUGAAGAUAUUAGGCUACAAAAACAAUUUGAUGUUUCCUUCAAAUCAUUUAUGUAUUUAAGAUCGGUGUUAUUUUAACCUGAGAUUCAGCACUGAGAUACCAUUGCACAUGCAGGAUGUGAGCAGUCACAAGGUGUAUGCUGUGAAUGCUAGGUAGUGUUAAAAUAUUCAUUAGUAACGGACAAGCGUUCAAAAUCAGGGCUUAGGGCUUCAGCUGCAACCAGCACCAAAUAAAAUGUGUCUUGUAAGUGUGAUUGUCAGGUUUCCACAACCCUCUGGCCAAAUUGUGUAUUAAAAUCACAACAAUUGCAGAUCCAAUAAAGCGUGAAGCCAAACUUC
Molecule: long non-coding RNA, 894 nt
Organism: Tachysurus vachellii
Lineage: Eukaryota; Metazoa; Chordata; Actinopteri; Siluriformes; Bagridae
Exons: 4
Source: RefSeq, a predicted model, not a curated record